UACGUAGGGAGCAAGCGUUGUCCGGAGUCAUUGGGCGUAAAGCGCGCGUAGGUGGCCCCAUAAGUCCGCUGUGAAAGUCAAAGGCUCAACCUUUGAAAGCCGGUGGAUACUGUGGGACUAGAGUACGGAAGAGGCGAGUGGAAUUCCUGGUGUAGCGGUGGAAUGCGCAGAUAUCAGGAGGAACACCAAUAGCGAAGGCAGCUCGCUGGGACGUUACUGACACUGAGGCGCGAAAGCGUGGGGAGCGAACAGG
This 253-nucleotide ribosomal RNA is filed under the name uncultured bacterium. RNAcentral describes it as "partial 16S ribosomal RNA". It matches the Rfam family "Bacterial small subunit ribosomal RNA", at positions 524 to 776 of the family's 1533-position model. The record is from RNAcentral.